This 447-nucleotide long non-coding RNA is filed under the name Ananas comosus (pineapple). RNAcentral's name for it is "long non-coding RNA (ACOM_LNC027499)". The record is from RNAcentral. Lineage: Eukaryota; Viridiplantae; Streptophyta; Magnoliopsida; Poales; Bromeliaceae.
AAUAAGCAAAAUAAAAGUAUAAAAAAUUAUAUUUUUUAUUUUUUGAUAAAAAUAUAUAAAAUAUAUUAUAAUUGACUCAUUAUGAUGGCUAGAGCUAAUAUACUAUUAUAAGCAUAAGAUCCCUUUAUACUCAUAAAUUUCCGGCUGUUGGAUGAAUUGACGUGCGGUUACGAUGAUAGUAAUAUCAUGAAGUUAAGUGGAUGGUUAGUUAAAUAGUAUGAUUUAACAGGUGAAAAUAUUCAAAGAGAUAGAUUUAACGAUUGAAAACUUAUUAGUAAAAAGAGGUCUAUAUAUACUGAUAAGAGUAUAGUAAACGGACUCCAUUAUGAUAUUCAAAACUCAAUAUUAUAUACAAAAAAUAAAUAUAAUAUUUUUUCAUUAUACUUUUUUUUCGUUUCUAUAAGUAAGACAUUUUUUCUCAAUCUUAAAAAAAAAUAAAAAAAUAAA